UGUUCCACUUUGAUGUCAUAAUCUCCAAGGACUUUUUUGCCCCGAAAGCACUUGGCCCUGGAAAGAGGAAAAAAAAAAAAGCAUACAAAUUAAUUUUGUAUAGGUGUUUGAGGUCAGAAAGCCACUCUCACCAAGAAGAGAACUACAGCAGACAGAACCCCAGAAUGAGAGUCAAGAGACCAGGGUAAGGGUUAGAGUCUAACUAAGUCUGCUAUCGGGUCACCAUAAGAAAGCCUCAAGCAAACCACUACCUCCCCACUUUGCUCAACUUGCUCACCCAUAAAAGAAACCAAAAGGCCUUUCACUCUCAGGUUUUGUGAUUUUAUGAUAACAUCCUUGGCCUUUCGGCUGCAAAAGAAGUCUAGAAGUAGGAAUUUCCCUAAUGUUAGUAAAGACUAGGUCAAUUUUAUACAUCUCUACAGUUUCCUUAUCUUUUUCACUCUGAUCUUCUAGUUGGUUUCCACCCUUGGAAUUUUAGUUUCUAAAGAAACUGUUAUCAUUUUACCACUUCAUACUCAUACUUCCAAAAAAGACUUGAGGCAACUAAUAAUUUAAAAAGUAAAUAUAACCAACAAUCAAUGAAUGAAGGAGAGUUAAUUAUACCAGAAAAAAAGAGGAUGGGGAGCUGAGGAAAGCUACUAUAAUUGAACACAAAACCUAUCCUGUAUUUCUAGGCAGUUGAGAGAAUGAGUCAAGCUGAGAUAGUUCCCAUUUUGUCACAGAUCUGGAGGAACCUCACAUUAUAGCUGCUGAUCUUCAGGACUCUGCAGGGCUCUGUCCACGACUAUAAACAGAAGUACAUGGAGGAAAUGAUCCGAUGAGGUUCCGUCCUUACACUGGUGACUGUGUGUCUACCUUGUUACCAGCAAUGCUUCCUGAUGCUUCCUUCCAUCUUCCUGUCUCAAGAUAGCUCUCCUUCUGUGAGCUCUGGGUUACUGGCCUCUCUUGACUGAGCCGAAAUCUUAUAAAAAAGGAGACGAGAUAGCAGGUGAUGGGGCACAGAGCCUUCUUUUGGAGAAUGAGCACAUUAUCCCAGGUAUUUUCAUGAAAAACUGUGUAACUCACAAGCAAGUGACAGAAUUAUCUCCCAAUUCUAAGAAAGCACUGUUAGGGGCUGUGUGCUAGAAGCCAGAGGGGUUCUGGAUGCACAGUCUGGGUGGGUUUCCUGGCUGUACACU
Non-coding RNA from Sus scrofa (pig), 1178 nucleotides. NCBI's taxonomy places the organism in Eukaryota, Metazoa, Chordata, Mammalia, Artiodactyla, Suidae. The record is from RefSeq and is a predicted model, not a curated record.